GUGAGCCACCUCACCCAGCUGAAGCUAUUUUAUAAAGUAUAUUAAACUUUACAGGUCCCUAAAAUAGUUUUUGGAUAAAACAAUUAAACAGGAAAAUAUAUAUAAAUAUUUUGCUGCUACUUGAAUAUGAAUGAUAGUGCUAGAAAAUAACAAAGAAAAACAUGAAAAGAUUUGAGUGCAUAAAAGUUUUAAGUUUGUACAAACAGAAACACAAAACCCAACAAACAUACUAAAAUGUUCAGUCUUAAUGGUAAUUACAAAAGUGUAAAUUAAAACAAUGCAUCUAUCAUUUCAAAAUUAUAAAUGCUAAAACUUUUGUUAACAAAGAUAU
This 331-nucleotide long non-coding RNA is filed under the name Pan troglodytes (chimpanzee). RNAcentral describes it as "long non-coding RNA NONPTRT013057". Lineage: Eukaryota; Metazoa; Chordata; Mammalia; Primates; Hominidae. The record is from RNAcentral.